RNAcentral lists this ribosomal RNA (464 nucleotides) under Vreelandella stevensii. RNAcentral's name for it is "partial 16S ribosomal RNA". It matches the Rfam family "Bacterial small subunit ribosomal RNA", at positions 338 to 794 of the family's 1533-position model. Lineage: Bacteria; Pseudomonadati; Pseudomonadota; Gammaproteobacteria; Oceanospirillales; Halomonadaceae. The record is from RNAcentral.
CCUACGGGGGGCUGCAGUGGGGAAUAUUGGACAAUGGGGGGAUCCCUGAUCCAGCCAUGCCGCGUGUGUGAAGAAGGCCCUCGGGUUGUAAAGCACUUUCAGUGAGGAAGAACGCCUGGUGGUUAAUACCCAUCAGGAAAGACAUCACUCACAGAAGAAGCACCGGCUAACUCCGUGCCAGCAGCCGCGGUAAUACGGAGGGUGCGAGCGUUAAUCGGAAUUACUGGGCGUAAAGCGCGCGUAGGUGGCUUGAUAAGCCGGUUGUGAAAGCCCCGGGCUCAACCUGGGAACGGCAUCCGGAACUGUCAAGCUAGAGUGCAGGAGAGGAAGGUAGAAUUCCCGGUGUAGCGGUGAAAUGCGUAGAGAUCGGGAGGAAUACCAGUGGCGAAGGCGGCCUUCUGGACUGACACUGACACUGAGGUGCGAAAGCGUGGGUAGCAAACAGGAUUAGAUACCCUUGUAGU